Molecule: long non-coding RNA, 2083 nt
Filed under: Mytilus galloprovincialis (Mediterranean mussel)
Lineage: Eukaryota; Metazoa; Mollusca; Bivalvia; Mytilida; Mytilidae
Source: RNAcentral
UUUUUUUCCUUCGCUGUUUUUUUGUUUAGAUGUUUAGAUGUUGCUUAGACAUUUGGAAUAUGAUAUCGAACAGUUUACAGAGGCGGAUUUAGGGGGGGGGGGGGGCCCUUUUUGGGAAAAAAAUUGGUUGCUUAUAUAGGGAAUCACUGAAGCGUGACUGGAGCGGGCCCCCUCUUAGGUAAGUCAGUGGGCCCCCACUUAUGAAAAUUUCUGGAUCCGCCACUGGUUUAUACGCUUUUAAAACUUACACCGCUUAACCGAAUACUUUCCAAUAUAAGAGUUAUCUCCCCGAACACUGUUUUUCUUGUGAUCUCUAAGGCUUCGCAACCGUAUAAGAAACCGACAAAUUUAUUUUAUCAAAUUCCUCGUUAUAUCCUCAGGAUGUUCUGUUUUAUUUUGACCGAAGCCGUAUAUAGAUUCCAUAUGAGAGUUUUCCCCCCUUUUAUGUUUGAUAUAAGUAAUAUGCAUUUUUAACUGUUAAACCAUAAGUGAUAGAGACCUAGGGUCUUCAGAUUUGAGGUCCUUGGUCCAAAAAAAUGAAAAUGAGGUCAAGGUCAAAGGUCAAGGUCAUGUUCAAAAUUGAUUUUUGCUUAUUUUCACUGAUUUUCAGAUACCGUAUGACAUAUCGACAAAUAAUUUUUCAUAAAUUGUUAGUUGCGAUGUCCUUACUUGUAUAUUUUAGUUGAAAGGGUGUGCACACAAUAAAUGGGAGCUUUUGCCCAUCUUAGAUUUAGAAUUACACGUAAAGUGAUAUUACUCUCUAACCAAACAUAUUCAAGACCUCGGGUCUUUUGAUUUAAGGUCCUUGGUUCGUGACCUUGAAAUUGAGGUCAAGGUCAUAGGUUAAUAGGACGUUCUAGAUUUUGACCUUUGCUUUAAAUUCAUAUUUAUACAUCAUGAAGCCAUAGGAACUAACAUUUUAAACUGAUUUUUCAUAUUUCAAUAUCAAAAUAGAUCUUUACUAAUGGAAAGACCUUCAAUUGUUCUCUGAAUAAUUGGUUUUUAAUUAUAGUUUAUUUUUGUUAGGGGGUAGGUCACGGUUAAAAAUCAUGGAAUGUAUCCGUUCGAUUUAUUUUGUUUCAAAGAUAAAAUGUAAAUUACACUGUUCUUAACAAAACAUACAUAAGGGAGCAGCCAUUGAACUUCAAACAGGGGGAGGGGGUAUGGUUUUUUGUUUAAGUCAGACAAUUUUAUUUAGUGUUUCAUCGCUAUCAAUACCAUAAAUAUCCCCUUUUUAGCUCACCUGACCUGAAAGGUCUAGUGAGCUUUUCUCAUCACUUGGCGUCCGUCGUCCGUCGUCCGUAAACUUUUACAAAAUCUUCUCCUCUGAGACUACUGGGCCAAAUGUAACCAAACUUGGCCACAAUCAUCCUUGGGGUAUCUAGUUUAAAAAAUGUGUCCGAUGACAUGGCCAUCAAAACAAGAUGGCCGCCAUGGCUAAAAAUAGAACACAGGGGUAAAAUGUAUAUUUUGGCUUAUAUCUUUAAAACGAAAGCAUUUAGAGGAAAUCUGACAAGGGGUUAAAUUGUUGAUCAGUUCAAGAUCUAUCUGCCCUGAAAUUUUCAGACGAAUCGGACAACCUAUUGUUGGGUUGCUGCCCCUGAAUUGGUAAUUUUAAGGAAUUUUGCAGUUUUUGGUUAUUAUCUUGAAUACUAUUAUAGAUAGAGAUAAACUGUAAACAGCAAUAAUGUUCAGCAAAAUAAGACCUACAAAUAAGUCAACAUGACCAAAAUUGUCAGUCAACCCCUUAAGGAGUUAUUGCCCUUUGUAGUCAAUUUUAACAACUUUUUGGUCAUUUUUUGUAACUUGUACAAAAAUCUUCUUCUCUAAAACUACUGGGCAAAAUUUAAACUAGCUUGGCCACAAUCAUAAUUGUGGUAUAUUGUUUUAAAAAUGUGUCCGAUGACCCCACCUACCAAACAAAAUGGCCGACAUGGCUAAAAUUAGGACAUAGUGGUAAAAUGCAGUUUUUGCUUUAUAUCUUUGAAACUAAGACAUUUAGGGCAAAUCUAAAUAAAAAUCGGUCAUAUAAUAAUUCAGCAAUAUUUCUUUUUAUAAGGAUUUUAGUUGAAAUGUUGUUUUU